UCAACAUCCCAACCCUCCUGUGACCCAUGAAGACCAUAUGGAUCUUUCUUCACAGACAUACAUUCUACUGAGUGGUGCAAUUGAUUUCAUCAAGAAGAGCAUUCUGUCAAUAAGUCAAGAGUGAAAAGAUAACGGUUUGACUGUUCUCGUCCAAAGAGGCCCACGACCGGGAAACGAGGAAUGGAAACACGCGAACAAAUACGGAGGCACACAAGAGGGAAGAGAUCAAGGGAGGCAAGAGGACGGGAAAGGAGGAGAAUGGAGAAG
Molecule: long non-coding RNA, 267 nt
Organism: Micropterus dolomieu (smallmouth bass)
Lineage: Eukaryota; Metazoa; Chordata; Actinopteri; Centrarchiformes; Centrarchidae
Exons: 4
Source: RefSeq, a predicted model, not a curated record